UUUUUCACUCCAUUAAUGGAGGGAAGCUCGAACUUUACAAACUCCAAAAACACAAUUUUUUUUUACUGAAAAUCAGAUAUCAAUGAUGGAAAUGGAAGAUAAAGAGAGUACAGAAUCUGGGUCACUAGGGGUUAACUCGGAGUAUGAUUCACCACCACCACCACCGGCGGCACCAGUGGUGGCAGCAGCAGUAGCAGGAACAAAUGGGAGUUUUAACAGUGGGGGUGGUGGGGUAGUGGUACCCCAAGUUAUGAAUAUGAGUUUAGGAGGAACUGGGGGUGGAGGGGUGGUUGGUAGUGGGGGUAAUGGGGUAGUGGGUAGUGGUGACAAAAAGAAAAGAGGAAGACCAAGAAAAUAUGAUGCUGAUGGAAAUUUAACACCUCAAUAUAUAAAAGCUGCUGCUGCAGCAGCUGCUAAAGCAGCAGCUGCAGUAGGAAGUGGUGGUGGUGGCGGUGUCGUCGGCGGAGCUGUCACUUCACCGGGUGGUGGUGGUGGAGUGACAUCGCCGCCGACUGGUUUUACUAUAACGUCGCCGGUGCUUUCUUCCGGUGGCUUUUCUUCAUCUAAAAGAGGACGUGGAAGGCCUACUGGUGCUGGUAACUUGCAAUUAAUUGCUUCUUUGGGUGAAUUGUUUGCUCACACAGCUGGAGGUGAUUUUAUGCCUCAUGUGGUUACUGUUCAUACUGGAGAGGAUGUGGCAGGAAAGGUUUAUUCUUUUGUGCAGAAGGGUUCAAGAGGGAUCUGUGUUCUGUCUGCAAAUGGUGCUGUUUCGAAUGUUACGAUUCGUCAGCCUGGUUCUUCUGGAGGUCUAUUGACAUAUGAGGGACGCUUUGAGAUCUUAGCAUUAACAGGGUCAUACACUGUUUCUGAUAACGGUGGCAUGAAAACUAGGUCCGGUGGAUUGAGUGUUUCUCUAGCUGGCCCAGAUGGGCGUGUUAUUGGUGGUGGUAUUGCUGGUUCGCUUACGGCUGCAAGCCCCAUCCAAAUGGUGGUUGGAAGUUUCAUGCCAAACGCUUUUAAAACACACAACAAAAGGAAGCAUCAUCAGAUCGAACCAAGAAUGCCUCCAGUCAUCCACAGCUCUCCGGACCCUGUUUCAAUGAUAAGACCUGUCUCACAAGCACCACCGGCGAGCAACAUUACUCUGACUCAGACAUCUCACAUACCAAUCCACAACCACGGUGAAGCUGACAACAGCACGAGCAACAAAGACAUGCCGAAUUCCACCUCUACAGACACUUCUGACUGUAAUGGAUCUGAACCAACAUUCGAGCAGAGAUCAUAUCCAGAUAUUAACGUGUCUAUACCUAUGGAGUAAAGUAAAGCUCGACGAAUCGAACCAAAACUUGACUAUAGUUCUUUUCUGCUUAGCUGAUUCCUUGUUUUGUGCUCAUGUCUGUGCUGAUUGUAAUUUUGAGGAAUCAUUAGGACUGCUUUAUUAGAAACUUUUUUUAAGUAUUAUGCUGACAUGACUAGAAAAAGGGCUAAUAUAUCUUUUGUUUUUCUGGUUGUUGUAAUGUUUUUAUAC
This is an RNA transcript of Solanum verrucosum, 1528 nucleotides long. It is a transcript of the gene named AT-hook motif nuclear-localized protein 7-like, with no coding region annotated. The record is from RefSeq and is a predicted model, not a curated record. Lineage: Eukaryota; Viridiplantae; Streptophyta; Magnoliopsida; Solanales; Solanaceae. The transcript is spliced from 6 exons.